Molecule: unclassified non-coding RNA, 753 nt
Filed under: Melitaea cinxia (Glanville fritillary)
Lineage: Eukaryota; Metazoa; Arthropoda; Insecta; Lepidoptera; Nymphalidae
Description: misc RNA ENSMCXG00005019668.1
Source: RNAcentral
GGUAGGUGCAUUUUUGAAUAAAAUGCCAUGAAUGGCCAUGAAUUUUUCAGCAACCCUUUCGCGAUUUUUUUCUAAUUAACUAAAUAAAAUUUCAUCCAUUAAUCAGUAUUUGAAGUUCGUCUCUAGUUCGGAUCUCCUACUAUGUUACUCUCAAUAAGUGCAAAAAAAUUAUUAUAAUGACAUUAUUAACUGUAUGAACAGAUAUUAAUUGUAUGUAUAUAUUAUUGUAUCUAUAACAUUAUUUAUUACUGUGAGUAAUGAGUUAUCUCUAUUUUGCCAUAUAAAUUUUAAAUACCUCAGAUAUAUAUUAUAAUCUCUAUAUUAUAAUCUUAAAUACUUCUUAUAUAUAUAAAUAAUUUUGGUCAUUUGUCGCAACUUGUUUUGAGAAGUAUGUCUGUCGUUAGGUAAUUUAGUUACAAAAAUAUAUAAAAUGAAAAAAGUAAUUGUUCAGUUCGCAGAGUUAAAAUAAAUAAAUUUCUAAAAUAAAAGAAGUUAAAGUCCCUCCUUAUUACAUCAACUACCUGCCAGUGAAAGACCCGUCAAAAGCCCAGCUGUUUCAGAGAUUAGUCGGAACAAACAGAAAGACAGAUAGACAGACAAAAAUUGUAAAAAAUGUUAUUUUAGUAUAUGUACCUACCGUGUAUACAUCCAUAUAAUCAUUUAGGCAAGUUAUUUUAACAUUACAAACAGAAAUCCAAUUUUAUUUAUUUGUAUAGAUAUGUAUAUUUUUUCGUCUUCAACAUCAGAAAAUAA